UACGUAGGGGGCAAGCGUUAUCCGGAUUUACUGGGUGUAAAGGGAGCGUAGACGGUUAUGUAAGUCUGAUGUGAAAACCCGGGGCUCAACCCCGGGACUGCAUUGGAAACUAUGUAACUAGAGUGUCGGAGAGGUAAGUGGAAUUCCUAGUGUAGCGGUGAAAUGCGUAGAUAUUAGGAGGAACACCAGUGGCGAAGGCGGCUUACUGGACGAUCACUGACGUUGAGGCUCGAAAGCGUGGGGAGCAAACAGGAUUAGAUACCCUGGUAGUCCACGCCGUAAACGAUGGGUACUAGGUGUGGGAGGUAUCGACUCCUUCCGUGCCGCCGUUAACACAAUAAGUACCCCGCCUGGGGAGUACGGUCGCAAGAUUAAA
This 376-nucleotide ribosomal RNA is filed under the name uncultured bacterium. Its description in RNAcentral is "bacterial SSU rRNA". It matches the Rfam family "Bacterial small subunit ribosomal RNA", at positions 524 to 898 of the family's 1533-position model. The record is from RNAcentral.